AAUCUUUCGCAAUGGGCGAAAGCCUGACGCAGCCAUGCCGGGUGAAUGAUGAAGGUCUUAGGAGUGGAAAAUUCUUUCACCGGGGACGAUAAUGACGGUACCCAGAGAAGAAGCCCCGGCUAACUUAGUGCCAGCAGCCGCGGUAAUACGAAGGGGGCUAGCGUUGCUCGGAAUUACUGGGCGUAAAGGGCUAGGAGGCGGACAUUUAAGUAAGGGGUGAAAGCCCCAGGCUCAGCUCUGAAACGGCCUUUGAUACUGUGUGUUUUGAGUGUGAGAGAGGUAUGUGGAACUCCGAGUGUAGAGGUGAAAUUCGUAGAUAUUCGGAAGAACACCAGUGGCGAAGGCGACAUACAAGCUCAUUACUGACACUGAGGAGCAAAAGCGUGGGGAGCAAACA
RNAcentral lists this ribosomal RNA (397 nucleotides) under uncultured bacterium. RNAcentral describes it as "partial 16S ribosomal RNA". It matches the Rfam family "Bacterial small subunit ribosomal RNA", at positions 360 to 774 of the family's 1533-position model. The record is from RNAcentral.